Molecule: small RNA, 1442 nt
Filed under: Pan troglodytes (chimpanzee)
Lineage: Eukaryota; Metazoa; Chordata; Mammalia; Primates; Hominidae
Description: retained intron
Source: RNAcentral
CUUUAAAUUCUCCCGUGCUAGGGCCGGCCUGCGCAUUCUUACCUGUCGGGGUGCGGCGAGUGUCUCACCGCUCUGCACUUCCAAGGACUCUUGUCAUCUGCCUUAGACGGGAAAUGCUGUUGCUGGAUUGCAACCCCGAGGUGGAUGGUCUGAAGCAUUUGCUGGAGACAGGGGCCUCGGUCAACGCACCCCCGGAUCCCUGCAAGCAGUCACCUGCCCACUUAGCCGCAGGAAGCGGCCUUGCUUGCUUUCUUCUCUGGCAGCUGCAAACGGGCGCUGACCUCAACCAGCAGGAUGUUUUAGGAGAAGCUCCACUACACAAGGCAGCAAAAGUUGGAAGCCUGGAGUGCCUAAGCCUGCUUGUAGCCAGUGAUGCCCAAAUUGAUUUAUGUAAUAAGAACGGGCAAACAGCUGAAGAUCUCGCUUGGUCAUGUGGAUUUCCAGACUGUGCCAAGUUUCUUACAACAAUUAAAUGUAUGCAGACAAUAAAAGCAAGUGAACACCCUGACAGGAAUGAUUGUGUUGCUGUGCUCAGACAGAAACGGAGUCUUGGAAGUGUAGAAAAUACCAGUGGGAAAAAGAAGUGCUGGUAAGUAACUCAGAGCUGCUGCUUUUUUCCUCCCGCAGUGAUCUCGUUUGCAUAGCAUUUAUUAUUCCAUUUAAUACUGACACUCGUAUUUCUAGUAGUAUUGUUUCAUUCUCAUUAACAUUUUAAUACUGGUUAUACUUACCAGAGUCUAGAGACCAAAAAUGGGACUGCAUGGUGGAAGUUUGGGGAUAAAACUCUUUUUAAAAAAAAGUUUUUAAUGUUAACGUUUUUUUAAAAACAGAUGUCACGUGGGUUAUGAAGAAGUCUGAAGAACGCCUUCAUUUCAUGCAGAUCUAUAAGCUCCUGCUUUUGGCUUUACCAUAUGUUGUGUCUAAACUCCUUCUGAGAAGGAGGAAAAACUUUCUUCCAAGUGAAGAUCCAUUUAAGAACACAUGUAUUUACAUGCCUAUAAUAUGCUGGUUGUGUAUGCUUUGUCUUUUAAGUUAUUAAAGGAAUGUCUAAAAAAUACAUUCUCCGUGCAGUAUUUACAACCUUUGAAAAAGGUCAUAAUUUAAAUCGUCAAACUAGAACCAGGAUUUAAUGUGAAAACUUAAACUGAUUCUUUAUUCACAAAUUUAUAAUACCACUCUACUGCAGUCUUUGACUCCAAGAUAUUUUAAAUCAUAUUUGGUCGCUGAGGAAGACAUAAGUUAUAGUAUGCAUCCUUGUUCCAAAAAUCUGGGCCCUUCCAUCCGCACCAGCCCUGGAUAGAGAAGACGGGAAAGGAAAGCCUUUUACAAAGUUACAAGAUUAUGUCAUGGAGAUCGUGACAUCAGGCUCUGUCAGCAGGACCUUGGAAUAAGACUCUAAAUGGCUUUAUCAUUCAAGGAUUUGAAUUCCUACUAGCAUAGAA